UGGCGGUAUGCUUAACACAUGCAAGUCGAACGGUAGCAGGCCUUCGGGCGCUGACGAGUGGCGGACGGGUGAGUAACGCGUAGGAAUCUGCCUGGUAGUGGGGGACAACGUGGGGAAACUCACGCUAAUACCGCAUACGCCCUACGGGGGAAAGCGGGGGCUCUUCGGACCUCGCGCUAUCAGAUGAGCCUGCGUUAGAUUAGCUAGUUGGUAGGGUAAAGGCCUACCAAGGCGACGAUCUAUAGCUGGUCUGAGAGGACGAUCAGCCACACUGGGACUGAGACACGGCCCAGACUCCUACGGGAGGCAGCAGUGGGGAAUAUUGGACAAUGGGCGCAAGCCUGAUCCAGCAAUACCGCGUGUGUGAAGAAGGCCUUAGGGUUGUAAAGCACUUUCAAUGGGGAGGAAAACCUGCCGGUCAAUACCCGGUAGCUUGACAUUACCUUUAGAAGAAGCACCGGCUAACUCCGUGCCAGCAGCCGCGGUAAUACGGAGGGUGCGAGCGUUAAUCGGAAUUACUGGGCGUAAAGCGUGCGUAGGCGGUUCGUUAAGUCAGAUGUGAAAGCCCCGGGCUUAACCUGGGAACUGCAUUUGAAACUGGCGGACUAGAGUUGAGUAGAGGGGAGUGGAAUUUCAGGUGUAGCGGUGAAAUGCGUAGAUAUCUGAAGGAACACCAGUGGCGAAGGCGACUCCCUGGACUCAAACUGACGCUGAGGUACGAAAGCGUGGGUAGCAAACAGGAUUAGAUA
This 749-nucleotide ribosomal RNA is filed under the name uncultured bacterium. RNAcentral describes it as "bacterial SSU rRNA". It matches the Rfam family "Bacterial small subunit ribosomal RNA", at positions 37 to 784 of the family's 1533-position model. The record is from RNAcentral.